Molecule: ribosomal RNA, 253 nt
Filed under: uncultured bacterium
Lineage: Bacteria
Description: partial 16S ribosomal RNA
Rfam family: Bacterial small subunit ribosomal RNA
Source: RNAcentral
UACGUAGGGUGCAAGCGUUGUCCGGAAUUAUUGGGCGUAAAGAGCUCGUAGGCGGUCUGUUGCGUCGGCUGUGAAAACCCGGGGCUCAACUCCGGAUCUGCGGUGGGUACGGGCAGACUAGAGUGAUGUAGGGGAGACUGGAAUUCCUGGUGUAGCGGUGAAAUGCGCAGAUAUCAGGAGGAACACCGGUGGCGAAGGCGGGUCUCUGGGCAGUAACUGACGCUGAGGAGCGAAAGCGUGGGGAGCGAACAGG